CCAGAUCGUUUACCGUGAAAAAAUUAGAGUGUUCAAAGCAGGCAGAUUCAAUUUUCUGCCACCGAAUACAUUAGCAUGGGAUAAUGGAAUAGGACCCUGUCCUCCUAUUUUCAGUUGGUUUUGGCAGCGCGAGGACUAGGGUAAUGAUUAAUAGGGAUAGUUGGGGGCAUUAAUAUUUAA
Molecule: ribosomal RNA, 180 nt
Filed under: Acanthamoeba genotype T4
Lineage: Eukaryota; Discosea; Longamoebia; Acanthamoebidae
Description: partial 18S ribosomal RNA
Rfam family: Eukaryotic small subunit ribosomal RNA
Source: RNAcentral